ACCUGACCAACGUUGGAGAAAACCACACCAGAUGCGAUACAUGAGAGGGGUUACAGUACAGAAGAGCUUGCUGUAAGAAAGGCAGAGACCUGCAUGGAAUGGGAUUGUAGCGGCCUUAUGAACCACAAGGUUGUUAGCCCGCUGAGCUAACACAAGUAUUCACGCCUCAGGAAGUUGCCGUACUGGCAGGAGUAGACGUGUCUGUGCAGCUGAACCAGGAAGCGCUCGUUGAACUCAAAGGCACAGGGGAACUGCUCUGACAGCUGCCACACACACUCCAGGAACUGGUCUAUCACCGGGGACACCUCCUUAGGAUCACCUUCCAGAUGGUUGUACCUGCAGAGAAGGGAAGACUGCGGCUUAAAACACUUUCAUAAGGGGUUUAAAGUGGCAAUCAGCAGUAGAAACAAUAACAAAGUGGUCUCCCUGCCCCUGGUUUGGUGAAAAGCUGAGGGAUGUAACCCCUCUCAAAUUCAUAGACAGAGCUAUGGAUGCGAGGAAUGACCGUUCUUGAUAACAAAAUUAUAGUUUUAACCAUGUUUGGAGGCUACAUAGUGUUUGUUUACGUUCUCUUUGUUUACAAACGUUAGAGAAAAAGAAGCUUACAUUUUUUAACUGCUGAUUGCCCCUUUUAAGCAGAUUUAAAGAACUGUGAGGGAAGUGUUAUGUAUCGACUCAAUGCUACUUUCUAAUAACUAAUUAGAAAGGUUCAUGCAUGUGACUGACUGAUCGUGUAUGGAGGAAUCCUCACUAUCACUGUUCCUCAACUUGGCAGUAUGCCCAGAAUAUUGCUAUGGGAACAACCGAGGUAUCGCAGAGACCGAGAGCCUCGUGAGGUAUUGCUCAGUCACAGCUGAGCUGAGGUAUUGCUCAGCUCAAUCACUGGUAGUGAUGAAGUAAUUAUGCUAAAUCAUGCAAAUAUAACUUGUCUGUGUAUAGCCGUUUAUUAGACAACUGCUGGGACCGCCCCAGCGGAGCUUCUAAUAGACCUGUACGGUGUGCAGAGGUUGUUGUAACCUCUCCAGCUUGCUGAUAAUAAAGAGUGAUUCAUUUUAAGAUAGG
This is a long non-coding RNA of Oncorhynchus tshawytscha (Chinook salmon), 1062 nucleotides long. RefSeq lists it as uncharacterized. The record is from RefSeq and is a predicted model, not a curated record. The transcript has 2 exons. NCBI's taxonomy places the organism in Eukaryota, Metazoa, Chordata, Actinopteri, Salmoniformes, Salmonidae.